CUAGUUUAAUUAUGGCUAUAAAAAUUUAGAGCUAUUAACUACAUAAAAUUAUUUUAUUACUUAAAUUAUUAAUUGAAUAAGUUAUUUAGUAGUGAAUUUUUUAUAAAUUAAGAAAUUAAGUUGAAGUUUAGUUUUAAAAGAAGGAAAAGUCACAGUGCCAGCAUCCGCGGUUAUUCUGUUUUCUUUAUUUUGUAUAUAUUUUUUUAAACGUCUGACUAUUAAAUAUUUGUUAAAAAUGUUUAUGUUAAUUAAUUAAUUUUGACGUUAAAAGAAUUUAAUUAAGUAAAAUAAUAUAAAUUAGAUACUUAUUUAGUCUUAAAAAUAAUAAUUAUAUUAGUUAAACUAAAAUAAUUUGGCAGCUAACUAAUCUUUAUAGGGGAAGGUGUUUUAUAAAAGAUGGCCCACUUAAAAAUUAACUUUUAGAAUUUAGUUAGUGUACAUCCGAUUAUAAAUUUAUAUUGAAUAAUUAAUUAAUUAGAAUAAUUAAUAUAAGUCAGGUCUAUGUGUUAUUAAUUUAAAAGGAAAAAUGCCUUACUAUUAAAUUGUUAAAAAUGUAAUUUUAUAAAGCUUAGGACUUAUUAGUAAAAAAGAAUAAAUAUGUUUUUUUGAAGAGAGUUUAGUUGGGGUACACACCGCCCGUCAAUCUCGAUUUUUGUUGAGAUAAGUCGUAACAUGGUAAUUUUUUAGGAAUAAGAAAUUAGUAUAAUAAAUAUUUUAUUUAUUUAA
RNAcentral lists this ribosomal RNA (726 nucleotides) under Pseudorhabdosynochus yangjiangensis. Its description in RNAcentral is "12S ribosomal RNA". Lineage: Eukaryota; Metazoa; Platyhelminthes; Monogenea; Dactylogyridea; Diplectanidae. The record is from RNAcentral.